UACGUAGGGGGCAAGCGUUGUCCGGAUUUAUUGGGCGUAAAGAGCGUGUAGGCGGUUCGGUAGGUCCGUUGUGAAAACUCGAGGCUCAACCUCGAGACGCCGAUGGAAACCAUCGAACUAGAGUCCGGAAGAGGAGAGUGGAAUUCCUGGUGUAGCGGUGAAAUGCGCAGAUAUCAGGAAGAACACCCGUGGCGAAGGCGGCUCUCUGGGACGGUACUGACGCUGAGACGCGAAAGCGUGGGGAGCGAACAGG
RNAcentral lists this ribosomal RNA (253 nucleotides) under uncultured bacterium. RNAcentral describes it as "partial 16S ribosomal RNA". It matches the Rfam family "Bacterial small subunit ribosomal RNA", at positions 524 to 776 of the family's 1533-position model. The record is from RNAcentral.